Molecule: ribosomal RNA, 157 nt
Filed under: Spongodiscidae sp. Shimoda-2008
Lineage: Eukaryota; Polycystinea; Spumellaria; Spongodiscidae
Description: 5.8S ribosomal RNA
Rfam family: 5.8S ribosomal RNA
About the family: 5.8S ribosomal RNA (5.8S rRNA) is a component of the large subunit of the eukaryotic ribosome.
Source: RNAcentral
ACCUAUCAACGAUGGAUCUCUUGGUUCCCGCAACGAUGAAGAACGCCGCGAAACGCGAUAUGUAAUGUGAAUUGCAGGAUUAAGUGAAUCAUCAAAUCUUUGAACGCAAAUUGCUGCUCGAACUCUUGCAGUCCGAGCACACCUGGUUCAGACUCGU